UAAUUUUGAGUGUGACCUGCCCAGUGAAAUUUAAUAAAAUUAUAAAUAAUUUGUGAAAAUAUUAAACGGACGCGGUAACUCUGACCGUGAUAAUGUAGCAUAAUCAUUUGCUUCUUAAUUAGAGGAUAGUAUGAAUGGUUAAACGAAUAUUCCACUUUUUUAGUAAAAAAUUUUUAAAAUUGAAAUAAUAGUUAAGAUGCUAUUUAAAAUUGUAAGACGAAAAGACCCUGUAGAGCUUUACUAUAUUCUUUUUUUUUAUAGGGAAUGUUAGUUUAAUUGGGGCGAUUAUUUUUUAAAAAAACCGAAAAUAAGUAAAAUUAAUAUUUAAUUUAUUGUAUAAUUAAUAAAUUUAACAGUUAUAAAAGUAGGCUAUAAUGACCCAUUAAUAUUAUAAAUUAAAUUAAUGAUCAAUAAAUAAAAGUUACCUCAGGGAUAACAGGAUAAUUUUGUAUUAGAGUUCUUAUCGUAUACAAAGUU
Molecule: ribosomal RNA, 477 nt
Filed under: Plotocnide borealis
Lineage: Eukaryota; Metazoa; Cnidaria; Hydrozoa; Anthoathecata; Boreohydridae
Description: partial 16S ribosomal RNA
Rfam family: Bacterial large subunit ribosomal RNA
Source: RNAcentral